This 73-nucleotide transfer RNA is filed under the name Neotoma lepida (desert woodrat). It matches the Rfam family "tRNA". Rfam says of the family: Transfer RNA (tRNA) molecules are approximately 80 nucleotides in length. Their secondary structure includes four short double-helical elements and three loops (D, anti-codon, and T loops). Lineage: Eukaryota; Metazoa; Chordata; Mammalia; Rodentia; Cricetidae. The record is from Rfam by way of RNAcentral.
UGGGAUGUAGCUCAGUUGGUAGAAUUCUUGCCUAGCAUGCAAGAUUCGUUGGGUUUGAGCCCCAGCACCACAU